Molecule: long non-coding RNA, 376 nt
Filed under: Trifolium pratense (red clover)
Lineage: Eukaryota; Viridiplantae; Streptophyta; Magnoliopsida; Fabales; Fabaceae
Description: long non-coding RNA (TPRA_LNC012014)
Source: RNAcentral
AUUUUGAAUCUCUUGUUUCCGCUUUAUCCGGCGCUUCCACCGAUCAGAAAGUCGCAUGCGAACCAACGGAACAAGACAUCGACGACUCGCCGCCGGAAUCGUUUUGGCUCUCCAACGACGCCGAACACGACUGGUGGGACAGAAACGCUGUUUACGAAAGAAACGAAUCAACAAAAGGAAGUUCAAUUUCCACAAACCUAAACCCUAAUUCAGCCUCAAAUUCUCAGCGAUUUUCCAAGAAUUUGAAGAAAUCAAAGGCUACAAUCAUUGGCUUACCGAAAUCUCAGAAAGCUUCGUUUGCUGAAGCUAGAUGCCGACGUAAUCACCGGCCGGGGAACAACACUAGGUCUUUGUUUCCGAAACGAAGCGCGUCAAU